UGGGGAAUAUUGCACAAUGGACGGAAGUUUGAUGCAGCGACGCCGCGUGGAGGGUGUAGGCCUUCGGGUUGUGAACUCCUUUUUCUCGCGAAAAAGGCACAGUUUUGGCUGUGUUGAUGGUAGUGGGGGAAGAAGCGCCGGCUAACUACGUGCCAGCAGCCGCGGUAAUACGUAGGGCGCGAGCGUUGUCCGGAUUUAUUGGGCGUAAAGAGCUCGUAGGUGGUUCGUCGCGUCUGUCGUGAAAGCCAGCAGCUUAACUGUUGGUCUGCGGUGGGUACGGGCGGGCUUGAGUGCGGUGGGGAUGGCUGGAAUUCCUGGUGUAGCGGUGGAAUGCGCAGAUAUCAGGAGGAACACCGAUGGAGAAGGCAGGUCACUGGGCAGUUACUGACACUGAGGAGCGAAAGCGUGGGGAGCGAACAGG
RNAcentral lists this ribosomal RNA (421 nucleotides) under Fusobacteriota bacterium. RNAcentral's name for it is "Fusobacteria bacterium partial 16S ribosomal RNA". It matches the Rfam family "Bacterial small subunit ribosomal RNA", at positions 355 to 776 of the family's 1533-position model. The record is from RNAcentral. Lineage: Bacteria; Fusobacteriati; Fusobacteriota.